GCCGGGCGUGAUGGCUCACGCCUGUAAUCCCAACACUUUGGGAGGCUGAGGUGGGUGGAUCACUUGAGGUCAGGAGUUCAAGACCAGCCUGAUCGAUAUGGUGAAACCCUGUCUCUA
This 117-nucleotide small RNA is filed under the name Pongo abelii (Sumatran orangutan). RNAcentral's name for it is "Metazoan signal recognition particle RNA (ENSPPYG00000031158.1)". Lineage: Eukaryota; Metazoa; Chordata; Mammalia; Primates; Hominidae. The record is from Rfam by way of RNAcentral.